UCAGACAAUAUGUGUAAAGCUCUUUAAAAGUUACUGACACAUAACAAAUUCUUUAAUAUGUGAACUGAAUAUUUGUUUCCAGAAUACUAGCCAUAGGGACACCUAAGGGACAAUGUGAUUUAACACUAAAGGCUCUGAAGGACCUGCUAAAUGAGAAGAUAAAACUUGCAGCAGUGCAACACUGAAAUAAAGUACAUCAACGGCAAGGCAGGGGCAACAGAAUCAUCUGCUACAUCUUGGUUUCUCAUUAGACUCCCAAUUCUGAUGGGAAUUUCCAAUAUUGACACGCUAAAAAGGAUCAUGUAGCUGAAGGCACUUUGGAAUAAUACAAACCUUAAUUCAAACCAUGGUCUGUCGUUUACUGGAUAUUUG
Neofelis nebulosa (Clouded leopard) is the source of this 372-nucleotide long non-coding RNA. RefSeq lists it as uncharacterized. The record is from RefSeq and is a predicted model, not a curated record. NCBI's taxonomy places the organism in Eukaryota, Metazoa, Chordata, Mammalia, Carnivora, Felidae. The transcript is spliced from 3 exons.